AUGAACGCUGGCGGCGUGCCUAAUACCUGCAAGUCGAGCGAACAGACGAGGAGCUUGCUCCUCUGACGUUAGCGGCGGACGGGUGAGUAACACGUGGAUAACCUACCUAUAAGACUGGGAUAACUUCGGGAAACCGGAGCUAAUACCGGAUAAUAUAUUGAACCGCAUGGUUCAAUAGUGAAAGACGGUUUUGCUGUCACUUAUAGAUGGAUCCGCGCCGCAUUAGCUAGUUGGUAAGGUAACGGCUUACCAAGGCAACGAUGCGUAGCCGACCUGAGAGGGUGAUCGGCCACACUGGAACUGAGACACGGUCCAGACUCCUACGGGAGGCAGCAGUAGGGAAUCUUCCACAAUGGGCGAAAGCCUGACGGAGCAACGCCGCGUGAGUGAUGAAGGUCUUCGGAUCGUAAAACUCUGUUAUUAGGGAAGAACAAAUGUGUAAGUAACUAUGCACGUCUUGACAGUACCUAAUCAGAAAGCCACGGCUAACUACGUG
Molecule: ribosomal RNA, 496 nt
Filed under: uncultured bacterium
Lineage: Bacteria
Description: partial 16S ribosomal RNA
Rfam family: Bacterial small subunit ribosomal RNA
Source: RNAcentral